Molecule: ribosomal RNA, 460 nt
Filed under: uncultured bacterium
Lineage: Bacteria
Description: partial 16S ribosomal RNA
Rfam family: Bacterial small subunit ribosomal RNA
Source: RNAcentral
CCUACGGGUGGCAGCAGUGAGGAAUAUUGGUCAAUGGACGAGAGUCUGAACCAGCCAAGUAGCGUGAAGGAUGACUGCCCUAUGGGUUGUAAACUUCUUUUAUAUGGGAAUAAAAUGUUCCACGUGUGGGAUUUUGUAUGUACCAUAUGAAUAAGGAUCGGCUAACUCCGUGCCAGCAGCCGCGGUAAUACGGCGGAUCCGAGCGUUAUCGGGAUUUAUUGGGUUUAAAGGGAGCGUAGGUGGAUUGUUAAGUCAGUUGUGAAAGUUUGCGGCUCAACCGUAAAAUUGCAGUUGAAACGGGCAGUCUUGAGUACAGUAGAGGUGGGCGGAAUUCGUGGUGUAGCGGUGAAAUGCUUAGAUAUCACGAAGAACUCCGAUUGCGAAGGCAGUUCACUGGACUGCAACUGACACUGAGGCUCGAAAGUGUGGGUAUCAAACAGGAUUAGAUACCCGAGUAGUC